GCGGGGUUGCCCUAGCCUGGUAGGGGGCAGGCCUGCUAAGCCUGUGGUCAGCAAUGGCCGCGCGGGUUCAAAUCCCGCACCCCGCGCCA
RNAcentral lists this transfer RNA (89 nucleotides) under Candidatus Bathyarchaeota archaeon. RNAcentral describes it as "tRNA-Ser". It matches the Rfam family "tRNA". Rfam says of the family: Transfer RNA (tRNA) molecules are approximately 80 nucleotides in length. Their secondary structure includes four short double-helical elements and three loops (D, anti-codon, and T loops). RNAcentral also lists the same sequence under 5 other names. The record is from RNAcentral. Lineage: Archaea; Thermoproteati; Candidatus Bathyarchaeota.